RNAcentral lists this ribosomal RNA (663 nucleotides) under uncultured bacterium. RNAcentral's name for it is "bacterial SSU rRNA". It matches the Rfam family "Bacterial small subunit ribosomal RNA", at positions 300 to 980 of the family's 1533-position model. The record is from RNAcentral.
AGGGACAGCAAACUGGAAUUUGAGAAACGUUCAGAACCCUACGGUGGCAGCAGUCGAGAAUCUUUCACAAUGGGGCACUGAUGGAGCGACGCCGCGUGGAGGAUAGGUCUCGAUGUAAACUCUGUCAUGUGUGACAGUGUCGUGUUAUAGCAUGGCAAAUGAUGUACACAGAGAAGAGACGGCUAACUCUGUGCCAGCAGCGCGGUAAUACAGAGUCUCAGCGUGUUCGGAAUCACUGGGCGUAAAGGGUGCGUAGGUGGCGUGGUAAGUCAGAUGUGAAAGCCCGGGGCUCAACCUCGGAAUUGCAUCCGAUACUACCAUGCUAGAGUACUGAAGAGGUGACUAGAAUUCUCGGUGUAGCAGUGAAAUGCGUAGAUAUCGAGAGGAAUACCAACGGCGAAGGCAGGUCACUGGGCAGUUACUGACACUGAGGCACGAAGGCCAGGGGAGCAAACGGGAUUAGAUACCCCGGUAGUCCUGGCAGUAAACGGUGCACGUUUGGUGUGGGCGCAAUCGACCGCGUCCGCGCCGGAGCUAACGCGUUAAACGUGCCGCCUGGGAAGUACGGUCGCAAGAUUAAAACUCAAAGAAAUUGACGGGGACCCGCACAAGCGGUGGAGUAUGUGGCUUAAUUCGAUGCAACGCGAAGAACCUUACCUGGUC